RNAcentral lists this ribosomal RNA (305 nucleotides) under uncultured bacterium. Its description in RNAcentral is "bacterial SSU rRNA". It matches the Rfam family "Bacterial small subunit ribosomal RNA", at positions 333 to 653 of the family's 1533-position model. The record is from RNAcentral.
UGCACCCUACGGGGGGCAGCAGUGGGGAAUAUUGCACAAUGGGGGGAACUCUGAUGCAGCAAUGCCGCGUGAAGGAUGAAGGUUUUCGGAUUGUAAACUUCUUUUGUACGGGACGAAGAAAGUGACGGUACCGUAAGAAUAAGCCACGGCUAACUACGUGCCAGCAGCCGCGGUAAUACGGAGGAUGCGAGCGUUAUCCGGAUUUAUUGGGUUUAAAGGGUGCGUAGGCGGAUUUUUAAGUCAGCGGUAAAAUGUCCGGGCUCAACCCGGGCCGGCCGUUGAAACUGGGGAUCUUGAGUGGGCGG